RNAcentral lists this ribosomal RNA (866 nucleotides) under uncultured bacterium. RNAcentral's name for it is "SSU rRNA". It matches the Rfam family "Bacterial small subunit ribosomal RNA", at positions 524 to 1381 of the family's 1533-position model. The record is from RNAcentral.
GACGAAGGUGGCUAGCGUUGUUCGGUAUCACUGGGCUUAAAGCGUGUGUAGGCGGAAGCGUAAGCGUCUUGUGAAAUCCCCCGGCUCAACCGGGGAACUGUGGGGCGAACUGCGCUUCUUGAGGCAAGUAGGGGUGCAUGGAACUCUUGGUGGAGCGGUGGAGUGCGUAGAUAUCAAGAGGAACGCCAGUGGAGAAAUCGGUGCACUGGGCUUGUCCUGACGCUGAGACACGAAAGCGUGGGGAGCGAACGGGAUUAGAUACCCCGGUAGUCCACGCCGUAAACGAUGCCUACUAGGUUGUGGUGGUUCUGACACCAGCACAGCCGAAGCAAAAGUGCUAAGUAGGCCGCCUGGGGAGUACGGUCGCAAGGCUAAAACUCAAAGGAAUUGACGGGGGCUCACACAAGCGGUGGAGCAUGUGGAUUAAUUCGAAGCAACGCGCAGAACCUUACCUGGGUUUGACAUGCUUGGAUGCUUGCCUGGAAACAGGUUAAGCUGCCUUCGGGUGAAACUUGCACAGGUGCUGCAUGGCUGUCGUCAGCUCGUGUCGUGAGAUGUCGGGUUAAGUCCUUUAACGAGCGAAACCCUUGCCAUUAGUUACCAGCGGGUUAUGCCGGGAACUCUAAUGGGACUGCCGGUGUUAAACCGGAGGAAGGUGGGGAUGACGUCAAGUCAUCAUGGCCUUUAUGCCCAGGGCCUCACACGUGCUACAAUGGCGAUCACAAAGCGACGCAAGACCGCGAGGUGGAGCAAAUCGCAAAAAUAUCGCCCCAGUUCGGAUUGCAGGCUGGCAACUCGCCUGCAUGAAGUCGGAAUCGCUAGUAAUCGCGUAUCAGCUAUGACGCGGUGAAUGUGUUCCUGAGCCU